This is a non-coding RNA of Oryzias latipes (Japanese medaka), 891 nucleotides long. NCBI's taxonomy places the organism in Eukaryota, Metazoa, Chordata, Actinopteri, Beloniformes, Adrianichthyidae. The record is from RefSeq and is a predicted model, not a curated record.
CCUACAUUUUUUCUUAGAGGCAUUGCCCUAAAGCAAAUAUUUAAAUGGCUGAGCUAACUGACUAGCUGACAACUUUAGCCCGACUUCAUCCCUGAAUUCUGUUUUUUACAGAAAAAAAUUGAACCAUGAUACAUCUGUCAGUUCAUUUUAGAAUGCAACUCUUGCAUCAAAAUCCACUGAUCAAACCGGAAGGGUUUAUGAUUCCUACAGACUGAGCUUUUUUUAAACCAAAGAUGGUUUGGUUCAGAAUGAGACAUAAACGUUUCAGUGCAGCUAUUUAAAAGUUUCAACAGGUUUAGUGUCUGCUGUUUACUUUUCAGUAGAAACAGUCUGAUUUGCAAAAGCAGUAGAAAAGGAGCCCAUAAAACUCCCAUUAAAAGGAAGGUGAGGAGGCACAAAUAACCAAAGAGGUAUAGGCUACAAGAUAAAAGUCAGGAGAAAAAAGACAGAUCUCACAGAUCAUGAAAUCCAGAAUAAAGAAUACCAGUUACACUGUCAGUCUGUUUUUUGCCUUCAUCACACUUGUGUUCCUCUGUGUAGGUUAGCUGUGGCUCUCCUGGAGGACUCCGCCCCCUCCUUGGUGGCCCUCCAUGGAGUUGCACACAGCUGCCUGCACUUUAGGUUAAUUUGUUAGAGCUGUAUUUAAGUGAUUCUGUUUCAGCACUCUGUGUUGGAGUGUGGCUUGUUCAAUUCUAGCACUAGUUUUGCUUGAUGAUUUUUGUAGUAUGGGUUUUGUUAUUAAAUACUUUAGUUCUCACUGUGGCGUGUCUUCUGCUCCUGCAUCUGGGCCAUUCUGAUAUACCGUAACAACCAGAGCUAAGUAUCCCCAACCAGAGAGACUCGCAAAUCAACUUUUCCAAAUCCAGUGUCACCAAAACUCCUGCAGAGAAA